UAAUAAGUGUUUAUGGCACUUUUUAAAUCCAUAUCCACCUUGUGUGCAAUGUCGGUCGAUCUUCUUUUUUUUGAGGAUCGACCAAACAUCAACCUUUAUCUUUUAACUCUUUGUCUGAAAAAUAUUAUGAAUAAACAAUUCAAAAUA
This 147-nucleotide unclassified non-coding RNA is filed under the name soil metagenome. RNAcentral describes it as "partial internal transcribed spacer 1". The record is from RNAcentral.